RNAcentral lists this ribosomal RNA (305 nucleotides) under uncultured eukaryote. Its description in RNAcentral is "partial large subunit ribosomal RNA". It matches the Rfam family "Eukaryotic large subunit ribosomal RNA", at positions 40 to 350 of the family's 3401-position model. The record is from RNAcentral.
AUAUAACUAAGCGGAGGAAAAGAAACUAACUAGGAUUCCCUCAGUAACGGCGAGUGAAGCGGGAGAAGCUCAGACGUAAAAUCUUCGGAAAUGUCGUCUGGAGAAGCAAGAUUGGUGCACGUGGGUCGGGUUAAGUCUGCUGGAACGCAGCGCCAGGGAGGGUGACAGCCCCGUUCAUGCCUGACUACAACACGUGUGUUCAUUUCUGCUUUCAACGAGUCGAGUUGUUUGGGAUUGCAGCUCUAAGCGGGUGGUAAAUUCCAUCUAAAGCUAAAUAUUGGUGGGAGACCGAUAGCGCACAAGUA